GCAAACUUUUAACCAACUUUGAGUUCUUCAGUGUCUUGAAGCGAAAACAGCGCCAGGUGUUCAUGAAUGAAAUGUUGAUCUGUGACUGCAUUCACAUGGAUCUCAGUUCAACAACAGUCUUACAGUUUCAUUACAGUCUCUCAGGAUGAAGCUGUGCAACUCCAGACACUCUCAAGAACAACAAGAACCACUUGACAAAUGACAAUUGCGUCUCGCUGUCUCUGUGUCCCGCGGCUGAAGGAAGGUGUUGACGGGUCAAAACAUGCAUCUUUUAACCCUUAAUGUGCUGGAAAGAGCAGCUGAUCUUGUCAACAGGUGCAUGAAUGGAUUCUGUAGCGUCUGUCCUGUUUUCAUCACACUGUAGCAGUAAAUGUUGAUGUAAGACGCCUGUAAUGUCCCUCAGGGCUCCAGAAAGCUCAUAUCUGACAUGAAGAACUGAAAAGACAUGGAGAGAAUACAGGUGUUAAAAGACGAGUCUAAAGGACGUAAACCACACGAAUCAGCAUCUUGAUUUAUUGGGAUCUGCAGCGUAUACAGUCAUGAAGAGCGUGCGUGUGUGUGUGUGUGUGUGUCUCCAAUCUGUCUGAGCUGAGUAAUGUUUGCUUGUUGAAUGACGUAAAAACAGCCGAACAUAAAUGUUUAGUGCUGUCUGUCUGGAGUUGUGAUUUUGGGCCAACAGGUGUGGUUCCCGAUGAUUGCCUGGAAUGUUUUUAUGCUACUAGUGCGCUUGUCAGUUUUCUGAUGCUUCAUGUCUUUAUUAUUAUUAUUUUUUUAUGUGCAUGUUGUUUUUAGUUCAGAGGAAUAUUGUCUCAGGGCUGGAAAGACUCACUUAGCCACAUGAAAUAUUAUUAUAAAUGCA
This is a long non-coding RNA of Carassius carassius (crucian carp), 859 nucleotides long. RefSeq lists it as uncharacterized. The record is from RefSeq and is a predicted model, not a curated record. Lineage: Eukaryota; Metazoa; Chordata; Actinopteri; Cypriniformes; Cyprinidae. The transcript has 3 exons.